Long non-coding RNA from Macrobrachium nipponense, 407 nucleotides. RefSeq lists it as uncharacterized. Lineage: Eukaryota; Metazoa; Arthropoda; Malacostraca; Decapoda; Palaemonidae. The record is from RefSeq and is a predicted model, not a curated record. The transcript is spliced from 3 exons.
GCACGACACAGAAAAGAAAGAACACUUACGGUCACUGGGAAUUAAUCCAUGGCAGAGGAGAUUGAAGAGCAGAUUUUUCAAGACUCUAACAUAAUUUGUCCAUUUAUCAUCGCUGAAUGUGAUUCAGCCCCUCUCUUCCCCAAGGAUGAGGAGAACCCCUUAGUAUGGAUUUCACCACUUGUAAGUCAAACCCUUGUACGGGUCAACACUAAUGAAGGCAUCGAUGUAUCCCCUUGCAAUGCAACCAUACAAGAUGGCAAGACUGUUCUGCUAGUAAGCUGAUAUCUAGGGAAUUAAUGUGCAGACCUGAGCCAUAUUUACUCCAACCAUUUAGGCCUGUCACUGGAGGUGUGAUAAACUGCAAAGUUUGUGACUAGAGGUGUGCCGAGCUGCAUUACCCAUGACUG